AUUGAACGCUGGCGGCAUGCUUUACACAUGCAAGUCGAACGGUAACAGGCCGCAAGGUGCUGACGAGUGGCGCACGGGUGCGUAAUGCAUCGGAACGUGCCCAGUCGUGGGGGAUAACUACUCGAAAGAGUAGCUAAUACCGCAUACGAUCUAUGGAUGACAGCGGGGGACCGUAAGGCCUCGCGCGAUUGGAGCGGCCGAUGUCAGAUUAGGUAGUUGGUGGGGUAAAGGCUCACCAAGCCAACGAUCUGUAGCUGGUCUGAGAGGACGACCAGCCACACUGGGACUGAGACACGGCCCAGACUCCUACGGGAGGCAGCAGUGGGGAAUUUUGGACAAUGGGCGCAAGCCUGAUCCAGCAAUGCCGCGUGCAGGAAGAAGGCCUUCGGGUUGUAAACUGCUUUUGUACGGAACGAAACGGCUCUGGUUAAUACCCGGGGCUAAUGACGGUACCGUAAGAAUAAGCACCGGCUAACUACGUG
RNAcentral lists this ribosomal RNA (482 nucleotides) under uncultured bacterium. RNAcentral's name for it is "partial 16S ribosomal RNA". It matches the Rfam family "Bacterial small subunit ribosomal RNA", at positions 30 to 507 of the family's 1533-position model. The record is from RNAcentral.